This is a long non-coding RNA of Phodopus roborovskii (desert hamster), 851 nucleotides long. RefSeq lists it as uncharacterized. Lineage: Eukaryota; Metazoa; Chordata; Mammalia; Rodentia; Cricetidae. The transcript has 3 exons. The record is from RefSeq and is a predicted model, not a curated record.
ACCCCAAAAGAUGUAUGUAGUUAAAGCUCAGCUUCCUGUAGCCUCCAUAGCCCCUGAAGUGUUAAUCUGAAGAAACAGUUCCAUUAGUUUCCACAGGCCAGUAGUGACUCUCCUACACUUGACCUAGACAGACUUACAUAAUGAAGCAUCAGUGCUGGGGAGCUUGUACGAUGUCAUCACCAGCAAGAAUAAGGAGUAUUGGCAGCAGCAAGCAGGCGGGCAGGCUAGGAUUUUGCAUGGAAAUCAUGAACCCUGUCUUGCUUUUCUUUUUUGAAAUGUUUUGGAAGGAGAGUUAUGAAUAGGUCGCAUUUUGUGGGUGGGAAAAACAAUGGCCAGAGGCAUGAAAGCUAAAUCUUCCAGCAAGUGAGAGGUACCUCUCUUGGAGUGUGCAGUCAACCCGAGAGGAGGAAUUGCCUUCUGUGAACUUCUGAACCAUCGCAUCUGGAGUGAAAGGGACUGCAAAGCAGUGUGAUAACGCAGAGGAUGCUGCUGAGAGCUUUCGUCUGCCUUUAACUCAUUGUGGCAAAGUUGGACAUCCCAAAGAUGGCGUAGAUGAACAUGACCAGGAAAAGCAGGAGGCCGAUGUUGAACAGCGCAGGAAGAGACAUCAUCAGAGCAAAGAGCAGCGUGCGUAUCCCCUUGGCGCCUUUGAUCAGGCGUAGAAUUCGGCCAAUCCUGGCCAGGCGGAUGACUCGGAACAGGCUUCUUCAAUGUUGGCCUGGUUCUGUUCCUCAUAUGCCAUGGCUACCACAGCCAGGAUCAAGUUUAUCAGGUAAAAGGAGCCCAGGAAAAUCACCACAACAAAGAAAAUCAUGUAGGUUUUGCCAGCAGCACGCAGCGUCUGGUGGUGG